CCCACCCCACACUCAUGCCCCGCCACAGGCGCUGAGAGCUGGCACCCAACUUCUGGAAGUUGGAAGGAUGAACAAUUUUCCUACCAUGGAGGCUAAUCACUAAGUUGAAUGUCGCUCAAAGAAAAAGCAGCCAGCCACAGAACAGAGACAAAGAGACACCGUCAAGAUCGGUCAAAGUCCUGACACGCCCAGUCCUGAGGCCAUUCGCUUCUUCACCUGCACGCUCGGAGUCGGAGGGUGGAAUCGGCCUGGGAGCCCCCAUUCAACUGCAGCACCCAGGCCACGCGUCAGGCGAGGGUCGUUCUGAAUGUAGGUGGAGAUGGGGCCUGGAGAAGGAACGGUUUAAAAAGAAGGGAAACAUUCAUUAUGAGAAUGGCUGGGCACAUGUUGAUAAGAGGAGUGAAACCUGUACCAACCAACAUCGUACUGAAAGCCAGUAAUUCAGAAUAUGCUACUGGCAAGCUGAAAAUGUGUGUUUCCACCUGAAUUUUCUUCACUGUAUGUGAUGUGAGGAGGCAAUAUUUGCCACAAGAACAUUAUGAACAUCAACAACAUGGAUGGAUCUAGAGGAUAUUGUGCUAAGUGAAAGAAGUCAGACUGAGAAAGACAAAUACCACGUGACAUCAUUUAUAUGUGGAAUCUAAAGAACAAAAUAAACGAA
Molecule: long non-coding RNA, 661 nt
Organism: Rhinolophus ferrumequinum (greater horseshoe bat)
Lineage: Eukaryota; Metazoa; Chordata; Mammalia; Chiroptera; Rhinolophidae
Exons: 3
Source: RefSeq, a predicted model, not a curated record